This is a non-coding RNA of Paramuricea clavata, 540 nucleotides long. NCBI's taxonomy places the organism in Eukaryota, Metazoa, Cnidaria, Anthozoa, Malacalcyonacea, Plexauridae. The record is from the annotation of a GenBank genome assembly.
AAUGCAGAUGCACACACCCUAAUUGACCAUUUUACUUUGUUAACACCAGACAAUUACCCAUGAAGGUGUUAAUAUUAAUAAACAUGUGCUAUUUGUAAAACAUCAUGUCUAAAUAGGUUAAUGAUGCCAUAAUGAAACACAAUAAUAGGAAUUUCCUACAGGUAACUUUGCAAGGGGUAAAAUUUAAGAUGGCAUCCUUAACCUGGAAGGCUCUAUUAUGGUCAAAAGGUGUUGAUAUAUUAAUGAUGUCAAAAAGUGAUCAUUAUACGAAAGGCUGGCCAGAAAUGGCAGACAUGCUAAACCUGAAUUUAGCAUGUCCUUACUGAGUGUUGUUGUAACUUUACUGCAACAUUUAAAGUUGAUUAAUGACAGAAAUAUAUUCUCUAUCUUGCCUUUCUAUGCAAAAUCAUGUAUCCUUUAUGAUCAUUGAUCCAGUUGUAGAACUUUUGUAUGUCAAAGUCAUGCAAUAAAUUAAGUUGGCUUGAAAUUAGAAUAGAAGCCAUAACUUCUGCCUGGUAUUUUGGUUAGAGCAUCUCAGGG